RNAcentral lists this ribosomal RNA (468 nucleotides) under uncultured bacterium. RNAcentral's name for it is "partial 16S ribosomal RNA". It matches the Rfam family "Bacterial small subunit ribosomal RNA", at positions 28 to 507 of the family's 1533-position model. The record is from RNAcentral.
GACGAACGCUGGCGGCGUGCUUAACACAUGCAAGUCGAACGGAAAGGCCCUGCUUUUGUGGGGUGCUCGAGUGGCGAACGGGUGAGUAACACGUGAGUAACCUGCCCUUGACUUUGGGAUAACUUCAGGAAACUGGGGCUAAUACCGGCUAGGAGCUCCCGCUGCAUGGUGGGGGUUGGAAAGUUUCGGCGGUUGGGGAUGGACUCGCGGCUUAUCAGCUUGUUGGUGGGGUAGUGGCUUACCAAGGCUUUGACGGGUAGCCGGGCUGCGAGGGUGACCGGCCACAGUGGGACGGAGGUGCGGCCCAGACUCCUACGGGAGGCAGCAGUGGGGAGUGGUGCACGAUGGGCGGAGGGCUGGUGCAGCAACGCCGCGUGGGGGAUGAGGGCCUGCGGGUUGUGAACCGCUGUCGCCUGUGACGGAGCGUGAGUGACGGUAAUGGGUGAAGAAGCACCGGCUAACUACGUG